Molecule: ribosomal RNA, 473 nt
Filed under: uncultured Pseudomonadota bacterium
Lineage: Bacteria; Pseudomonadati; Pseudomonadota
Description: bacterial SSU rRNA
Rfam family: Bacterial small subunit ribosomal RNA
Source: RNAcentral
GGCGGUAGGCUUAACACAUGCAAGUCGUGCGAGAAAGUAUCUUCGGAUAUGAGUAGAGCGGCGGACGGGUGAGUAACGCGUAGGAAUCUACCUAGUAGAAGGGGAUAGCCCGGGGAAACUCGGAUUAAUACCGUAUACCUCCUUCGGGAGAAAGAGGGCCUCUCUUUGAAGCUUUCGCUACUAGAUGAGCCUGCGUAAGAUUAGCUUGUUGGUGAGGUAAAGGCUCACCAAGGCAACGAUCUUUAGCGGGUCUGAGAGGACGAUCCGCCACAUUGGGACUGAGACACGGCCCAGACUCCUACGGGAGGCAGCAGUGGGGAAUAUUGGACAAUGGGCGCAAGCCUGAUCCAGCCAUACCGCGUGUGUGAAGAAGGCCCUAGGGUUGUAAAGCACUUUAAGUUGGGAAGAAAAGUUAUUGGUUAAUACCCAAUAACCGUGACAUUACCUUCAGAAUAAGGACCGGCUAAUUCCGU